Molecule: long non-coding RNA, 703 nt
Organism: Tupaia belangeri chinensis (Chinese tree shrew)
Lineage: Eukaryota; Metazoa; Chordata; Mammalia; Scandentia; Tupaiidae
Exons: 3
Source: RefSeq, a predicted model, not a curated record
GCCUUUCAUCUCUCGGGAGGGUCUCACCUUGGCCUUCAGACACCCGCAGAGAGGAACUGGAAGGGCACAAUUAGCAUAAAGAAGAAAGAAGCCAGACCAAGUCCUGGCCCCGGCCCCAGGAAUCCUUGACAGGAAGCGUGGGGUUUCUGCCCAGCCUCCCACGCAAUGUAGGUGAAACCGGGCCCCUUUGGAGGAAUGGUACUAAAGACAAGAUCCCAAUUUUAUCCUCUUUGGGCCAAGAGGAUGAGAGUUAAAGGAAUGAGUUAAUUUUCAUAAAUAGCUGUGUCAGCACGAAAUGUAGAACGAUUAAAUGUCCUAGAAGACAGUUUUCUUGAAAUCUUACCAAGUUUGACAAGAUUUCUGGUGCACGGUAACGCUUUACCGCCCUGCCUUGCAUACUGCCACAUCUCCACCCUGCAACACUGCCUAUGUAGAAAUGCCAUGGAUCAGCUAAUAAUUAUCUGCUGCAAAAUUAUUAGAACACUGCCUUCACCACCUUUAUCAUUAUUUAAAUAGACCUUCGAGACGCCAACCUGUGAUUUAGCUCUCCUAAAUUGUUCAUAUACAAAGUAAACUACCUGCCACUCAAACUUAGAGAAGACAAGCUGAACCAAGUGUAAAAUUAUGGCAAUUUACAGAUGCGGGCUUCUUCACCUUGGAUUUCCCAACCUCCAGAACUGUAAGAAAUAAAUCUCUGUUUUUU